UUGAACGCUGGCGGCAUGCUUUACACAUGCAAGUCGAACGGCAGCGCGGGCUUCGGCCUGGCGGCGAGUGGCGAACGGGUGAGUAAUGCAUCGGAACGUGCCCAGUAGUGGGGGAUAGCCCGGCGAAAGCCGGAUUAAUACCGCAUACGACCUGAGGGUGAAAGCGGGGGGCCGAAAGGCCUCGCGCUAUUGGAGCGGCCGAUGUCGGAUUAGCUAGUUGGUGGGGUAAAGGCUUACCAAGGCGACGAUCCGUAGCUGGUCUGAGAGGACGACCGGCCACACUGGGACUGAGACACGGCCCAGACUCCUACGGGAGGCAGCAGUGGGGAAUUUUGGACAAUGGGGGCAACCCUGAUCCAGCCAUGCCGCGUGCGGGAAGAAGGCCUUCGGGUUGUAAACCGCUUUUGUUCGGGAAGAAAUCCUCUGGGCUAAUACCCCGGGGGGAUGACGGUACCGGAAGAAUAAGCACCGGCUAACUACGUG
RNAcentral lists this ribosomal RNA (483 nucleotides) under uncultured bacterium. RNAcentral's name for it is "partial 16S ribosomal RNA". It matches the Rfam family "Bacterial small subunit ribosomal RNA", at positions 29 to 507 of the family's 1533-position model. The record is from RNAcentral.